CCUACGGGAGGCAGCAGUAAGGAAUAUUGGUCAAUGGACGCAAGUCUGAACCAGCCAUGCCGCGUGAAGGAUUAAGGCCCUCUGGGUUGUAAACUUCUUUUAUAGGGGACGAAAAAAGGGCAUUCUUGCUCACUUGACGGUACUCUAGGAAUAAGCACCGGCUAACUCCGUGCCAGCAGCCGCGGUAAUACGGAGGGUGCAAGCGUUAUCCGGAUUUACUGGGUUUAAAGGGUGCGUAGGUGGGUUGGUAAGUCAGUGGUGAAAUCUUCGAGCUUAACUCGGAAACUGCCAUUGAUACUAUCAAUCUUGAAUCAUCUAGAGGUAAGCGGAAUAUGUCAUGUAGCGGUGAAAUGCUUAGAUAUGACAUAGAACACCAAUUGCGAAGGCAGCUUACUAUGGAUGUAUUGACACUGAGGCACGAAAGCUGGGGAUCAAACAGGAUUAGAUACCCUGGUAGUCCACGCCCUAAACCGAUAGAUACUACACAUUGUUGUAUAUACUAAUAAGUAGUACUGUAGACGAAGACGAGUUAAGUUAGUACCACCGUACGGUAAGGUAACGUAACCGACGAAGGUUAAGUUAAACGUUAAAAGUAAAGUUAGUUACGGCGUAGGAGACGAGACGACGGACGACGACGAGGGAGGAGG
This 647-nucleotide ribosomal RNA is filed under the name uncultured bacterium. RNAcentral describes it as "bacterial SSU rRNA". The stretch from base 1 to 545 matches the Rfam family "Bacterial small subunit ribosomal RNA", at positions 338 to 873 of the family's 1533-position model. The record is from RNAcentral.